This 355-nucleotide transfer-messenger RNA is filed under the name Erysipelothrix sp. It matches the Rfam family "transfer-messenger RNA". Rfam says of the family: Bacterial tmRNA, also known as 10Sa RNA or SsrA, is named for its dual tRNA and mRNA-like properties. Its role is to liberate the mRNA from a stalled ribosome. To accomplish this part of the tmRNA is used as a reading frame that ends in a translation stop signal. Lineage: Bacteria; Bacillati; Bacillota; Erysipelotrichia; Erysipelotrichales; Erysipelotrichaceae. RNAcentral also lists the same sequence under 1 other name. The record is from RNAcentral.
GGGGAUGUCAUGGUUUCGACAGGAGUAUGUUUGAUUUGGAAGGCAGUGGGUGAUUACCUACAAUCAAAAAAAUAACUGGAAACAGAAAUUAUAACAACGCGGUAGCUUUCGCUGCCUAAUAGAGUCUCACAAUAGACUUGCGCGCGACUGAUUGAUUUGUCAUUGGUUGAUCACCUCGCGUCAUUCACAAUGACUACCAUUCAUCUAAUCUAGGAGAUGAUUGGGACACUUCACUAGAUAAACCAAGCGGCAUCUUGUCUGUCAGUAGCAACUUGGUAAUAUGGCAGACUAAACUGUAGGCUUCUAAAUGGAAGGCGACUUCUGGACGCGGGUUCGACUCCCGCCAUCUCCACCA